RNAcentral lists this ribosomal RNA (309 nucleotides) under Triticum aestivum (bread wheat). Its description in RNAcentral is "partial small subunit ribosomal RNA". Lineage: Eukaryota; Viridiplantae; Streptophyta; Magnoliopsida; Poales; Poaceae. The record is from RNAcentral.
AUGGGGACCGUGGCACUGCUUCUGCGAGGCGAGUUUGCGACUAGCAAGGCCGCGAGGGUCAGUAUGCUAUACGCAGAUGGUGGCAAAGAAAAGCAAGUGCGUACUAUAAUGAAAGAUCAUCUUUAUGCCUAUCUGGUUAAUAUACAUGAUAAAUUAUGGAUCGGUCAUCCAUCUGGUGACACUUUAGCAGCUAAACAAGGAGUGUCUAUCAACAAAAUUCCACCACCUCCAGUUCCACCAAGUGCUUGUUCGGCUGCUCUUGUAGAUUUUGGAAACAAGCACAGAACUGCAAACUUUGUAUUCUGCUAG